Molecule: transfer RNA, 83 nt
Filed under: Candidatus Omnitrophota bacterium
Lineage: Bacteria; Pseudomonadati; Candidatus Omnitrophota
Description: tRNA-Leu
Rfam family: tRNA
About the family: Transfer RNA (tRNA) molecules are approximately 80 nucleotides in length. Their secondary structure includes four short double-helical elements and three loops (D, anti-codon, and T loops). Further hydrogen bonds mediate the characteristic L-shaped molecular structure. tRNAs have two regions of fundamental functional importance: the anti-codon, which is responsible for specific mRNA codon recognition, and the 3' end, to which the tRNAs corresponding amino acid is attached (by aminoacyl-tRNA synthetases). tRNAs cope with the degeneracy of the genetic code in two manners: having more than one tRNA (with a specific anti-codon) for a particular amino acid; and 'wobble' base-pairing, i.e. permitting non-standard base-pairing at the 3rd anti-codon position.
Source: RNAcentral
GCGCGGGUGGUGGAACUGGCAGACACAUACGUUUGAGGGGCGUAUGGGUAAUCCCCGUGCGGGUUCAAGUCCCGCCCCGCGCA